CAUUGCAGAGAACUCCAUCAGCUGUGGUUUGAUCCUUGAAAUUUCUGAAAUUUCGACCAUCUUUCAUUUUCUGGAGAUUCGUUGGCAUGGCGACGGUUGUGAAGAGAUUGGGAAGGAGAAUAUCGAUUUCUGCAAGGAAUUUCUCUUCUUCUUCUUCUUCUUCCGUUUCUGCUGCUCUUGAAGAGCAGAAGCAGCUACCAGCCGACGGGAAGAAGCUCACCAACCUCUUCUCUGCAAUCAAUCAGGCACUCCAUAUCGCUCUCGAAACCGAUCCUCGUGCUUAUGUAUUUGGAGAGGACGUGAGUUUUGGUGGUGUCUUCCGUUGCACAACAGGAUUGGCUGAUAAAUUUGGCAAAUCCAGGGUUUUCAAUACACCCCUAUGUGAACAGGGAAUUGUUGGAUUUGGCAUUGGUUUGGCUGCCAUGGGGAAUCGAGUUAUUGCGGAAAUUCAGUUUGCAGAUUAUAUUUUCCCUGCCUUUGACCAGCUUGUCAAUGAAGCAGCUAAGUUCAGAUACCGAAGUGGGAACCAAUUCAAUUGCGGAGGUUUGACAAUACGGUCUCCUUACGGAGCUGUUGGGCAUGGUGGGCAUUAUCAUUCACAGUCACCAGAGGCUUUCUUCUGCCAUGUUCCAGGGCUCAAGGUGGUGAUUCCCCGAAGCCCACUACAAGCAAAAGGACUAUUGUUGGCAUGUAUACGUGAUCCAAACCCUGUUGUCUUUUUUGAGCCGAAGUGGCUUUACCGGUUGGCAGUAGAAGAGGUUCCUGAAAAUGAUUACAUGUUGCCCCUAUCUCAGGCUGAGGUGAUUCGUGAAGGCAAUGACAUAACUCUUGUUGGGUGGGGAGCUCAGCUUGCAGUUAUGGAACAGGCAUGCGCAGAUGCUGCCAAGGAUGGAAUUUCAUGCGAACUUAUAGAUUUACGAACAUUAAUACCUUGGGACAAGGAAACGGUAGAAUCCUCCGUCAGAAAGACUGGAAAGCUUCUUGUUAGUCAUGAAGCUCCCGUGACUGGAGGAUUUGGUGCCGAGAUCUCUGCUUCUAUUGCCGAACGCUGCUUCUCGAGGGUUUUGCAGUUAGAAGCUCCUGUUGCCAGGAUAUGUGGCCUCGACAUUCCAUUUCCUCUUGUUUUCGAACCUUUUUAUGUGCCCACAAAGAACAAGAUCUUGGAUGCAAUCAAAGCAACCGUAAAUUACUAGAGAUCCAUGUAUCCCCUCCCUACAUUUAUUUGGUGAUGGAGGCAGGUAAAAUAAUAAUCUUGUUGCAGCACACUGCCCUUUCAAUGCCCGAAAGAAUUUCGAGUGAUUUUGGACGAUCCUGAUUGACAUGGAUGAAGCUGCAUGGAUGAUGGCCCACUACGUAAACUCGUGUAUGUUAUAAAUGGUUUUGGGCUAAGAUGAUCCAACCCAAAACCUUAAACAAAUGAAGAUAGAAAUAGUAUAAAUGAUUUAUUUAUCUACCGGUGAACCACUUGGUUAUUGAAAAAGUUCUGCGUUGGGUUUGGGUUAGAAUUCUUGACCUGUCUAGUAAAUGGGUCGAGCUUGAGCUGACCCAAUCCAGCUCGAACCCGACCCAUUGUCACCCUUAGCUAGUGGGCUAGUCUGGGAUGGGCUUGGCCUUCAGGUAAGUUAAUGGGCAGGCCAGUUGGUGGGCCAUUACGAUCAUCAUGUCUCUAGAGCUUGCAACAACUAGACUACUAUGAGUUAAUGUUCUUUUAAUACAUGUACCUGAUUGAAGGGUUGAGAAACGUUUUGGACCGGAAAUGCUGGAAUUUGAGCUAUCUGAUUCUAUCAACCGUUGAUUUGUAUUUUUAAUUGAAAUACAUCUCCAUUUAAAAUUCAA
Molecule: RNA transcript, 1836 nt
Organism: Magnolia sinica
Lineage: Eukaryota; Viridiplantae; Streptophyta; Magnoliopsida; Magnoliales; Magnoliaceae
Gene name: 2-oxoisovalerate dehydrogenase subunit beta 1, mitochondrial-like
Exons: 14
Source: RefSeq, a predicted model, not a curated record